This is a long non-coding RNA of Phragmites australis (common reed), 1603 nucleotides long. RefSeq lists it as uncharacterized. The transcript is spliced from 3 exons. The record is from RefSeq and is a predicted model, not a curated record. NCBI's taxonomy places the organism in Eukaryota, Viridiplantae, Streptophyta, Magnoliopsida, Poales, Poaceae.
UCAAUCGAUCUGCUCUCCAUCCGUGCUCCCCGGGGUCACCCUCCGUCUGCUCCCCAACCGUGGCUUGCCCACGCGGGACGCCCACGGUCAAGCCGGCGCGAGCGGCAGCUCUAGCGCCAAGGUUCCGCACAGGUUGCGCGGCGAUGGCCAGCCUCCCCUCCCAUUCCCCGCGCGACGAGGCCGCUCCAUGGCGAGUCGCGUCUGGCGUCGGCCCGGCUCGCUCCAGGCCCUCUCCGCCGUCCUCCUUCUGGCCGCCGCUGGUGCUCCCUCUCACGCUCUCCUACCGUAACGCCAACGGGCUCGUCGCCUUGCCGCGGCGGGGGCUUGGGGACGGCACCCGCUCCAACGCGCGCAUGCGCCUCAACGACGAUCUCCUCACCAGCGGGUCGGUACAGCUCGAUUUUUUUAAACCACCAGGUGGGGCUGGAUUCCUGUGUCUCGGGAGUCAGGAAGCUCAGGUAGUGCCAGCAGCAACGUGUCCACGCAGACACCAAAUGGAAAUUUAUCUGUUCAGCAACCACUUUGAAACUGUGUGAGAUGGUAUGAUUGAUUAGGAUGGUCGCACGUAUGAAUAUGUGCUGUCCACUUGUGAACUGCAGCUGGACUGUUCAAGCAAGCUAAUUGAUGAUUACACUAAUUAUACGGGUUCGCUAGACUGCUUGAUGUGCAUCGAUAUAUAGGGAGUCUAAUUAUCAGAAGAUUCACAUUUCCAUUUGCAUGUAGAUUAGGUGGUUCCAGUUUAGUCAUGGGUUGUUGAUAAAUUGUAAUGUGGACUGAGGACGUGGUUUCAACCUACAGCACUGCAGGCAAAGUGAGGUGCCAUAAUUAUAUACUUUUUUUAAAUGGUGAAUUCCUGAAACACAAGAGUUUAUGGUCAUUGGUCAGCACUUCCAAACAAGUACCAUGCAAAUCUUGGUCACAACCUAUUCCUUUAGAUUGCCAGCCGUUGGCCUUGUUUUUGUCGUUAACAAUUUUUAGCCAACUUCUUAACUUUAUCCAGCCAUCCCUCACCUACGACGCCUACCGCUGCCUCGCCCUCCUCGGCCGCGUGUUCCAAGCCGCCCGCGCCUCCUCUGGUGUUGCCACGACGGCAGCAAGAUUUUCCUGGCCUUGGACAGCGAGUCUGUGCUUGGGUGGUUCCGGGCCGUGUAUGAGAAGAUGAACCUUGCAUUGGAUGGGAUGCCUUACUCGGACAUUGGCACCUCUGAUGAAACCAAGGAGCAAGUUGAACUCAUCAAUGCACAAUUGAAGAGAUACAAGAAGAGAACAGACACUCAGGAUAUGGAGCUCUCGAUGGAUUUCAUGGUCAUACUCCAGAACAAGGAAAGGCUAGCCAAGAAACUCGAGCUGCAAAGGGGAACCUGAUUCAAGUGUUUUGCCUUGUAUGCCACAUCUUCUUUGAAAAUAGUAAAAAAAAAAAUUCCUUGCUAAAUAUACCUCCCUCACUAUAUUGGUGUUCGGAAUAUAAAGGUAAUUUGUAUUGAAAAUAGUUAAAGGAAAUAUUGAACCGAAUCAGCCUGCUGACCCUCCAUGUUAUGUAUGUUACAACAAAAGAUUCAUAGACUUUAGUUAUAUUACAACAGAAUCUUAUAUGGUUCUCCAU